CGUCAUGCUUGUUGUGAUAAACCCGUUUUUUUGGUGCUUUCAAUGCAACUGGGAACAAAUCAUGACAUCAGUGAUAUUCAGGUCGGAAGCCGGAGCUUUAGAAAGAUGCCAGAGUUUCUGACUUUGAAUUCAGAGUUCGAUGACCGUCCAUAACGAUUUUUCCCAGUUUGUUUCCCGAGUUCUUAGCUGUCUUGAGCGCUCGGAAGUCGGAGAUUUCAGUUUCCAGUUUUGAACCCAGCAUUUCUGUUGCGCCCUAGCUCCAUACGUCAUCACUACAAGUGCUAUUUUAUCUGCCAGAUACUAUAAACGCCCACGUUCUGGAUACGCCAAGCAAAAAGAGGGACUGAUCGAACAGCCAAUGGAAAGGCAAAGGCAAAAUGCCCACCCAGCCGGAGUCAGCUAGGAGAGAGAGUACUUUUUGUCUUUAUUGAGGAACCAUCUCCUUUCGACUCGAGAGAGAGAGAUCAGGGUUGUACAACAGCUUAGACUACAGGGAUCACAGAAACCACACACACACCUAGCAUUUCACUGUAUCCUAUUUCUAACAGUUCAGCAGAAGGCCACCACACCACAUUAGAGUUGUUAAGACAGAGCCUAUAAACAACAGUUAGACUGAUUACCACAGGAAGCAGUACUGGACAGCCAUGCAGGCCAAGG
Long non-coding RNA from Salvelinus fontinalis (brook trout), 657 nucleotides. RefSeq lists it as uncharacterized. NCBI's taxonomy places the organism in Eukaryota, Metazoa, Chordata, Actinopteri, Salmoniformes, Salmonidae. The transcript has 3 exons. The record is from RefSeq and is a predicted model, not a curated record.